CCCUCCUAACUCCACAUGUUCCUCUAUUACAGGUGCCUCAUUCCUUUUGAUAUCGACGUCACUUUACUUUCUAUGCCCACCGCCCAACACUCAAAUUCCACGCACUAACGACAAAUAAUCACUAUAACAUUAUCAAUAAGUUUGGUCACGAGUGUAACCUUCAAGAUACUUUCACGUAAAAUAUCUAAUAAUCUAAUGUUGCGUGGCUUAUUUGGCUACACUCUUUGAGCUUGCUUCCAAUAAAACUCAGAUUGUACUAUUUUCAAUCAGCCCCAGUAAUGUUAGUUACACAUAUGCUAUCACAUGAUAUGUAUACUCAUUGACUAUACCAACCUAACAUUUAUCUACCAUGCCUUCAACUUCAACUUUGAAUAUCAAAAAUCCAUUUAAAAUCAUAUCUUCAAUAAUUACUUCACGUUGUUAUUCUUUGAACAAAAAAUAAGACAUGUCUUUGUCAAAUCAAAUAAUACUAGUAGUAACAAACAGUGGGUGAUUUGCUUAAGGAUACAACAACAUAAGGUGGUAAGUUACAUAAUAAAUGUGUCAUGCAUAUCUGGCCAUUUGUAGCAGAGAAAGGAUAUUUUCAAGAUUGUGUAACGUGUCUUCCCUCCGUGAUUGUCAUUAAAGAAUGUCUUUAUUUCUAGUAGUAAUAAUUGUCAUGUAUUUUAGGCAUUUCUCAAUUCAACUUUAUGCAUAUUUGUUGCUUGAAUUAGUCAACUAUGGAAAAUAUAUUGGAAUUUACCCCACCGCCCCAUAAUAAAUGAAACAUUUACAACAGAAAUUUGUUCCAAAAUAAAUUUGCUUUCAUUGUUUCUUGUAUGUUCUAACCGUACAUUCCACUCCCUCACACAUUAAAUAUCAUUUUAGUGACUUUUAAAAAAAUUAAAUUAUUUUAAUAAUAAAAUUAGUAUUACUAUUUGUUAAAUAUUUUUGUUUAGAUAGGAACCAAAAUAUUCCAGGAACAUUGAGGUCUUGAAUCAAUAGAGUAAAUUUUCAAAAUGAUGGACAUGAUUGACCUGCAAAGUUAUCAUUUUAAUACACAAGUUAAUAAGAGAAUGGGGAUUAAUGUGAGAAUCAUAAUAAUUUGAAUACUUGAAAUGAUGCAUUUUACUCUUAUAUACUAAGAGCAGUUUGAAACUGUUCAUGUGUGAUGCACGUGCCGAGCAGACAACCGUCAUAUUUGAUAAAACGAUGGUAGAUGUGCUUGAAGGCGGAAUCACCUGCUUCUAGCUAGAACGGAAGUCUACCUGCUUUGCGUGUCCUUCACUCGAGAUAUGCUCUUGGGCAUUUUUCUACGGGUCUUGCUAACGUCCUAGAACAGUUUCUCCGAAAUCUUAAUUCCUUUGUUGUAGAGCGAGGGCUUGCAAUGUGCACCUUUAGGUUGGCUAACAAAUGAAGUAAGUGAAGAAUCUUGAUGGGCCAUCACUAGCAAUGGGAGUAGAUGCAUUAAAAGUUUCAACCUUGAUCAAUGAUGUUUUGCGGAAAAUUCUGAUGUGUGUCCUUAUGCGUGAUGGUAAUAAUGUCCCAUCAUAUCCUAAAUACUCAAGUGCUCUAAACAGUCUUCGACAAGACCUUGACUGUUGAUAGUGUAGUUUGCACUUCCCAAUGUGGUAGAUUAUAUUGUUCACGAUUGCGGAAAUGCGUAUAAAAAGUUCUUGGAAUGUUAAUCCACCAUCUUUGGACUAUCUCAAUUUUUGAGAAAUUUUUACUUUUCU
RNAcentral lists this long non-coding RNA (1715 nucleotides) under Lathyrus oleraceus (garden pea). RNAcentral describes it as "Pisum sativum (pea) long non-coding RNA (PSAT_LNC034853)". The record is from RNAcentral. Lineage: Eukaryota; Viridiplantae; Streptophyta; Magnoliopsida; Fabales; Fabaceae.